CACACACCACCCCACACAUCAACAAAAUGAAGUGGAUGAAGAUCGUCUACACAUCUCUACAAGCUUGUUAGUGAUUACAGAAAGGAACUUGGUGCUGUUUCGCUCUCCAGGACCUGUCAGGCUUAAUUAAUUAAUUACCGUGGUGCCAAUCAUUUUGAAGUCAAUGUUUUGUGGGGAAACAUGUAGCACUAAAACUAUAGAACAUCACUGUCCAGCAGAGUCCUCAACACAGCGCACACAUCAGGACCACAGGGCUGGACAGCUGGACCAGACAAAGAGCUUCCCUGGGCUUCUGGAACGAUCAACUGAAGACAUACAGUAUCAAGCACAACUCAGCCGUUGUUUAGAAGUCUGCUCGGUCUCCUGUUUGUCUGGCUGUAAAAAGGAAUUCAUGCAGAGUCUAUGAACUGGUGAUCUUUC
Long non-coding RNA from Ictalurus punctatus (channel catfish), 420 nucleotides. RefSeq lists it as uncharacterized. The transcript is spliced from 3 exons. The record is from RefSeq and is a predicted model, not a curated record. NCBI's taxonomy places the organism in Eukaryota, Metazoa, Chordata, Actinopteri, Siluriformes, Ictaluridae.